RNAcentral lists this ribosomal RNA (496 nucleotides) under uncultured bacterium. Its description in RNAcentral is "partial 16S ribosomal RNA". It matches the Rfam family "Bacterial small subunit ribosomal RNA", at positions 28 to 506 of the family's 1533-position model. The record is from RNAcentral.
GAUGAACGCUGGCGGCGUGCCUAAUACAUGCAAGUCGAGCGAACAGAUGAGGAGCUUGCUCCUCUGACGUUAGCGGCGGACGGGUGAGUAACACGUGGAUAACCUACCUAUAAGACUGGGAUAACUUCGGGAAACCGGAGCUAAUACCGGAUAAUAUAUUGAACCGCAUGGUUCAAUAGUGAAAGACGGUUUUGCUGUCACUUAUAGAUGGAUCCGCGCCGCAUUAGCUAGUUGGUAAGGUAACGGCUUACCAAGGCGACGAUGCGUAGCCGACCUGAGAGGGGGAUCGGCCACACUGGAACUGAGACACGGUCCAGACUCCUACGGGAGGCAGCAGUAGGGAAUCUUCCGCAAUGGGCGAAAGCCUGACGGAGCAACGCCGCGUGAGUGAUGAAGGUCUUCGGAUCGUAAAACUCUGUUAUUAGGGAAGAACAAAUGUGUAAGUAACUAUGCACGUCUUGACGGUACCUAAUCAGAAAGCCACGGCUAACUACGU